GGGGGCGUAGCUCAGUCGGUAGAGCAACGGUUUUUUAAGCCGUGGGUCGGCAGUUCGAGUCUGCCCGCCCUCA
RNAcentral lists this transfer RNA (73 nucleotides) under Planctomycetota bacterium. RNAcentral's name for it is "tRNA-Lys". It matches the Rfam family "tRNA". From Rfam's summary of the family: Transfer RNA (tRNA) molecules are approximately 80 nucleotides in length. Their secondary structure includes four short double-helical elements and three loops (D, anti-codon, and T loops). Lineage: Bacteria; Pseudomonadati; Planctomycetota. The record is from RNAcentral.